Molecule: ribosomal RNA, 625 nt
Filed under: Karenia umbella
Lineage: Eukaryota; Dinophyceae; Gymnodiniales; Kareniaceae
Description: LSU rRNA
Rfam family: Eukaryotic large subunit ribosomal RNA
Source: RNAcentral
CCAUGAGGGAAAGGUGAAAAGGACUUUGAAAAGAGAGUUAAAAGUGCCUGAAAUUGCUGAAAGGGAAGCGAAUGGAACCAGUUGUUCUUGGCGAGUAUUGGUGUUGUCUAAAGUGAUGGCUUGCCACCUCAACGCAAGUGUGGUGGCAGGUUUUGAUCUGGAUGCGAUACUGCUUCUCGCCUUGCAUGUCAACGUCAGUUCACAAUUGAGGAAAACUCUGGGGACAUGGUAAUUUGCUUCCGGGUGACUGAAUGUGCCUAGUCGAACUCAUUUGUGAACUGCUCCCUGUGUGUCUGGUAGCAGUGCUCUGCUGUGCAUCUUCAAAAGCUUAAGCCUCGUCUCGUGCCUGGCUUUCGCUGUCUGUCGGUGCCUGGAGCACGUCCUUGACAUAAGUACGAUGACGAAAUGGUUUUAUUCGACCCGUCUUGAAACACGGACCAAGGAGUCUAACAUAUGUGCAAGUUCACGGGUGGUAAACCUUCUUGCGCAAUGAAAGUGACUGCUGGGAUAUCUGCACCAGCAACCGACCAAUCAAUUGUGAGAGGUUUGAGUAUGAGCAUAUCUGUUAGGACCCGAAAGAUGGUGAACUAUGCCUGAGAAGGGUGAAGUCAGGGGAAACUCUGAU